Molecule: unclassified non-coding RNA, 300 nt
Filed under: uncultured fungus
Lineage: Eukaryota; Fungi
Description: partial contains small subunit ribosomal RNA, internal transcribed spacer 1, and 5.8S ribosomal RNA
Rfam family: Eukaryotic small subunit ribosomal RNA (bases 1-73)
Source: RNAcentral
UCAAACUUGGUCAUUUAGAGGAAGUAAAAGUCGUAACAAGGUCUCCGUUGGUGAACCAGCGGAGGGAUCAUUACCGAGUUCCCGAGACUCCCACACCCACCGCGAACCCUACCCAGCCGUUGCUUCGGCGGGGCGGCCCCGGGCCCCAGGCCCGGAACCAGGCGCCCGCCGGAGGCCCCCAAACCUCCCGUCUCCGCCCCCGGAAUCCCUCUGAGUGGCGCCCCAGCGGCGCGAGAAGAAGAAUGAAUCAAAACUUUCAACAACGGAUCUCUUGGUUCUGGCAUCGAUGAAGAACGCAGC